RNAcentral lists this ribosomal RNA (429 nucleotides) under Tetranychus environmental sample. Its description in RNAcentral is "bacterial SSU rRNA". It matches the Rfam family "Eukaryotic small subunit ribosomal RNA", at positions 20 to 370 of the family's 1831-position model. The record is from RNAcentral. Lineage: Eukaryota; Metazoa; Arthropoda; Arachnida; Trombidiformes; Tetranychidae.
GUAGUCAUAUGCUUGUCUCAAAGAUUAAGCCAUGCAUGUCUAAGUACAUACUUUAACAAAGUGAAACCGCGAAUGGCUCAUUAAAUCAGUUACGGUUCCUCGGAUAUUCCAUUUUACAUGGAUAACUGUGGUAAUUCUAGAGCUAAUACAUGAACAAGUGCUCCAACCAAUCAGUUUUUCGGAAUUGAUUGGAAGGAACGCAUUUAUUCGUACAAGACCAAUGGUCCAUUAAGCCAUGUUCAUGCUUCGGCCUGUUCAUGGUGGGCCUAGUGAUACUCUUUCGAGAGUAUUGCAAGACUCAAAAUGACUUUGAAUAACUGAGCAAAUCGUAUAGCCUCUGUGCUGACGAUGUAUCCCUCAAGCAACUGCCUUAUCAACUUUCGAUGGUAGAUUAUGCGCCUACCAUGGUUGCAACGGGUAACGGGGAAU